Molecule: non-coding RNA, 26 nt
Filed under: Rattus norvegicus (Norway rat)
Lineage: Eukaryota; Metazoa; Chordata; Mammalia; Rodentia; Muridae
Source: RNAcentral
UUCAGAAAGUGACUUCAUCCCCUCAC